UGUUUUCCAGUAGCUUAGUGGUUAGAACGUCCGAUUCGGGUGCGGAAGGUCGCGGGUUUGAUCCCCGGCCGAGUUAU
Non-coding RNA from Potamilus streckersoni, 77 nucleotides. The record is from the annotation of a GenBank genome assembly. NCBI's taxonomy places the organism in Eukaryota, Metazoa, Mollusca, Bivalvia, Unionida, Unionidae.